This 87-nucleotide small nuclear RNA is filed under the name Panthera pardus (leopard). Its description in RNAcentral is "U5 spliceosomal RNA (ENSPPRG00000015064.1)". It matches the Rfam family "U5 spliceosomal RNA", at positions 1 to 89 of the family's 117-position model. Rfam says of the family: U5 RNA is a component of both types of known spliceosome. The precise function of this molecule is unknown, though it is known that the 5' loop is required for splice site selection and p220 binding, and that both the 3' stem-loop and the Sm site are important for Sm protein binding and cap methylation. Lineage: Eukaryota; Metazoa; Chordata; Mammalia; Carnivora; Felidae. The record is from RNAcentral.
UACUCUGGUUUCUCUCAGACUGUAUAAAUCUUUCGCCUUUUACUAAAGAUUUCCGUGGAAACUACCCAGCCAAGAAGCUGAACAAAC